RNAcentral lists this ribosomal RNA (492 nucleotides) under uncultured bacterium. RNAcentral describes it as "partial 16S ribosomal RNA". It matches the Rfam family "Bacterial small subunit ribosomal RNA", at positions 29 to 507 of the family's 1533-position model. The record is from RNAcentral.
AGUGAACGCUGGCGGUAGGCCUAACACAUGCAAGUCGAACGGCAGCACAGUAAGAGCUUGCUCUUACGGGUGGCGAGUGGCGGCCGGGUGAGUUAUACAUCGGAAUCUACUUUUUCGUGUGGGUUCACGUAGGUAAACUUACGCUAUUACCUCUUCCUCCCUUCGGUUUAAAGCAGUGUUUCUUCGCCCCUUUCGCGUUUUUUUUAGCCUAUGUCGGAUUAGUUUGUUGGCGGGGUAAAGGCCCACCAAGGCGACGAUCCGUAGCUGGUCUGAGAGGAGGAUCAGCCACACUGGAACGGAGACACGGACCAGAGGCCUACGGGAGGGAGCAGAGGGGAAUAUUGGACAAUGGGCGAAAGCCUGAUCCAGCAAUACCGCGUGGGAGAAGAAGGACUUCGGGUUGUAAAGCACUUUUGUUGGGAAAGAAAAGCAGCAGGUUAAUAACACGCGGUACUGACGGUACCGAAAGAAUAAGCACCGGCUAACUUCGUG